AGGACGAACGCUGGCGGCGUGCUUAACACAUGCAAGUCAAGGGGGCCCAGCAAUGGGCAACCGGCGAACGGGUGCGUAACACGUGAGCAACCUACCGAAAUGUGGGGGAUAGCCGGCCUAACGGCCGAGCAAUACCGCAUACGCUCUCGAUGAGGCAUUUCAUUGAGAGGAAACCUACGGGACAUUUCGAGGGGCUCGCGGCCUAUCAGCUAGUUGGCGAGGUAACGGCUCACCAAGGCAACGACGGGUAGCU
This 253-nucleotide ribosomal RNA is filed under the name uncultured soil bacterium. RNAcentral describes it as "partial 16S ribosomal RNA". It matches the Rfam family "Bacterial small subunit ribosomal RNA", at positions 26 to 288 of the family's 1533-position model. The record is from RNAcentral.